GCGNNGCUAAAUGCAGUCGAACGGGACUUGCACCCAACACGGAAUGUUGCGGAAAGCUAGUAUAUAUGUUAGACGAAGAAGCGAAAGAGGAAAGAGCGAAGACGAGCGUCGGGAGGAAAAGCGACCGGCGAAACGUGCUACUAAUUCCUAAUUUCUACUUCCUAACUACUACUAAACUUGCCCCCAACACUGCGUGUUGGGGGCAAGUUUAGUGGCGGACGGGUGAGUAACACGUGAGCAACCUGCCUAGAAGAGGGGGAUAACGUCUGGAAACGGACGCUAAUACCGCAUAACAUUACGAGACGGCAUCGUUUUGUAAUCAAAGGAGCAAUCCGCUUUUAGAUGGGCUCGCGCCCGAUUAGGUAGUUGGUAGGGUAAAGGCCUACCAAGCCUGCGAUCGGUAGCCGUACUGACAGGUAGAACGGCCACAUUGGGACUGAGACACGGCCCAGACUCCUACGGGAGGCAGCAGUGGGGAAUAUUGCACAAUGGGGGAAACCCUGAUGCAGCGACNCCGCGUGAGUGAAGACGGUCUUCGGAUUGUAAAGCUCUGUUGCAGAGGACGAAUCAAUGACGGUACUCUGUGAGGAAGCCACGGCUAACUACGUGCCAGCAGCCGCGGUAAUACGUAGGUGGCAAGCGUUGUCCGGAAUUACUGGGUGUAAAGGGAGCGUAGGCCGGGAAUCCAAGUCGGGUGUGAAAUACCGCAGCUUAACUGCGGGGCUGCACCCGAAACUGGGUUUCUUGAGUGAUGUAGAGGCAGGCGGAAUUCCUAGUGUAGCCGGUUGAAAUGCGUAGAUAUUUAGGAGGNAACNCCAGUGGCCNAAGGCGGCCCUGCUGGGGCAUUAACCUGACCGCUGANGGCUCNAAAAGCCGUUGGGGGAGCCAAACNGGNAUUAGGAUACCCCCUGGGUAAGUCCCNCGCCUNUUAAANCGAAUUGAAUUUNCCUAGGGUGGNGGGGGGGGGAACNUGGACCCCCUUUUCCCNUGGCCCGGGAAGUUUAACCACCCAAUAAAGGUUAAAUUCCNCCCCU
RNAcentral lists this ribosomal RNA (1034 nucleotides) under uncultured bacterium. RNAcentral's name for it is "bacterial SSU rRNA". It matches the Rfam family "Bacterial small subunit ribosomal RNA", at positions 44 to 873 of the family's 1533-position model. The record is from RNAcentral.